GAUGAAGAACGCAGCGAAAUGCGAUACUUGGUGUGAAUUGCAGAAUCCCGUGAACCAUCGAGUCUUUGAACGCAAGUUGCGCCCGAAGCCAUUAGGCCGAGGGCACGCCUGCCUGGGCGUCACACGUCGUUGCCCCCCCAUCUACUCCUUCGGGAUUGCGGGGGGCGGAUGAUGGCCUCCCGUGCGCCACGCCGCGCGGUUGGCGUAAAUGCCAAGUCCUCGGCGACGCACGCCACGACAAUCGGUGGUUGCGAAACCUCGGUUGCCCGUCGUGUGCGGUCGUCGCGCAUCGAGGGCUCGAAAAAAUUGCCGGGUUCCGGCUCGGCUUUCAACGCGACCCCAGGUCAGGCGGGGUUACCCGCUGAAUUUAAGCAUAUCAAUAAGCGGAGGA
RNAcentral lists this unclassified non-coding RNA (391 nucleotides) under soil metagenome. RNAcentral describes it as "partial contains 5.8S ribosomal RNA, internal transcribed spacer 2, and large subunit ribosomal RNA". The stretch from base 1 to 122 matches the Rfam family "5.8S ribosomal RNA", at positions 35 to 154 of the family's 154-position model. The record is from RNAcentral.